RNAcentral lists this ribosomal RNA (292 nucleotides) under Serratia marcescens. RNAcentral describes it as "partial 16S ribosomal RNA". It matches the Rfam family "Bacterial small subunit ribosomal RNA", at positions 62 to 350 of the family's 1533-position model. Lineage: Bacteria; Pseudomonadati; Pseudomonadota; Gammaproteobacteria; Enterobacterales; Yersiniaceae. The record is from RNAcentral.
UCGAGCGGUAGCACNGGGGAGCUUGCUCCCUGGGUGACGAGCGGCGGACGGGUGAGUAAUGUCUGGGAAACUGCCUGAUGGAGGGGGAUAACUACUGGAAACGGUAGCUAAUACCGCAUAACGUCGCAAGACCAAAGAGGGGGACCUUCGGGCCUCUUGCCAUCAGAUGUGCCCAGAUGGGAUUAGCUAGUAGGUGGGGUAAUGGCUCACCUAGGCGACGAUCCCUAGCUGGUCUGAGAGGAUGACCAGCCACACUGGAACUGAGACACGGUCCAGACUCCUACGGGAGGCA